CCCACCCAAGUUGAUCGAGAUAAAAGGUUUGUUUUACAUUAUCUGUCUGAAGAGAGAAGAUUUAUCUUGUUUGAAAAAGGUAAAACUGAACAUAAAUUUUCUUCUCUUCAAGAUCGAUAAGGUAAAGUUUACGAAAAUUUUCAAAUACCUUUACUCUAUUCGAAUGUUGUUGAAAAUCUUUUUGAUGGUUUGAUGUUUGGAAAUUGUUUGUACCUUGUUGUGAUUGAUUGUUGUCUUU
RNAcentral lists this long non-coding RNA (238 nucleotides) under Gossypium barbadense (sea-island cotton). RNAcentral describes it as "long non-coding RNA (GBAR_LNC003119)". The record is from RNAcentral. Lineage: Eukaryota; Viridiplantae; Streptophyta; Magnoliopsida; Malvales; Malvaceae.